Molecule: non-coding RNA, 94 nt
Organism: Mycena polygramma
Lineage: Eukaryota; Fungi; Basidiomycota; Agaricomycetes; Agaricales; Mycenaceae
Source: the annotation of a GenBank genome assembly
GGCGUCAUAGCUCAGUUGGGAGAGCAGCAGACUGAAGUGAAAGGAGUCGAUGGGAUUUAUCUGAAGGUCCCGUGUUCAAGCCACGGUGAUGCCA